UACGUAGGGUGCAAGCGUUGUCCGGAAUUAUUGGGCGUAAAGAGCUCGUAGGCGGUCUGUCACGUCGGCUGUGAAAACCCGGGGCUCAACCCCGGGCCUGCAGUCGAUACGGGCAGACUAGAGUGCGGUAGGGGAGACUGGAAUUCCUGGUGUAGCGGUGAAAUGCGCAGAUAUCAGGAAGAACACCCGUGGCUAAGGCGGCUCUCUAGUACGGUACUGACGCUGAGACGCGAAAGCGUGGGGAGCGAACAGG
This 253-nucleotide ribosomal RNA is filed under the name uncultured bacterium. RNAcentral describes it as "partial 16S ribosomal RNA". It matches the Rfam family "Bacterial small subunit ribosomal RNA", at positions 524 to 776 of the family's 1533-position model. The record is from RNAcentral.